AUUCUGCUGUGUAUAUACUAGCCAAGGUAUUUAACCUAUGACCAAACCCACUCCGCAGUUGUAUGUCAUAAACUGCCAUAGAGACAGCAGUAUUACUUUUAGAUCCAUCAGUAUAAAGUUGGUUAUAAUUUUGCCACUCUGACAGCAUACUAUAUACCUCUUCCUUAUAUUUUAAUGAUUCAUUAAUAAUUAUUUUAAUAGGUGUAUAUUUUGAAUUAUAAGAAUUUAAAUAACAUGGCCAAAGAAUACUAGAAAAUAGAUUAUGAUCACAAGAAAAAUGUAACAAAUCAGAGAUGCCUUCUACUUGAUAGUAGGAAUUAUUGUCAGUUCGGUUAAUAUAGUCCUUUAUCUUUAAUAGGAGUGGAUGAUUAUUAAUAGAAGUUAAUUUGAGAAAGAAUUUUGUUUGUAGAUAUUUGAAUCUAAGAGCUAGUGGGGGAAUAUUACAUUCUACUUGUAAUGAUAUAAUAGGAGUAGACCUAAAAGCGCCUGUUAUGAUCCUUAAGCAUUUAUUCGGUAUUUUUUCUAAUUUAUUCACUAAUGUAAUUUCUCCACCAUAACAAAAGAAGGCAUACUCAAAAUGGCUACGGACUAAUGACUUAUAUAGUGUUAGCAAGAUGCGUGGGUCUGCACCCCAAUAUGUACCAGCUAAUGAUUUCAGAAUAUUGCAGGCCUUUAAUGCUCGAUUUUCUAUUAUUUCGACAUAUUUGUGCCAUCUAAAAUUACUUAAAAAGGGACAUUUAAGGAUAGAAGAAUGGAUGAUAAUUGUUCUAAAUCAACAUUAUUAAAUGCUCCUACAACAUCCAAAAAAACACCAGCCAAUAUCUUAUUGUCAAUCUGGGCACUAUGGAUGUCAAGACAUAAAUGCCGUAGACUCUCACAAGCAUAACGACCGCAUCGAAAUCCAAAUUGAUUAUCAGAUUAUUGUGUGGAGGAAUGUUGGAUGGAAUUGAAGAAGAUUCAGUUUCCGACACUACCAUGGAAAAUUUUGUGAUUGUAGGUAAGUGAUAGCUGCCCAAAGACUGAUGAACUUGCCAUUCACAGCACAGGAAUAAUGAAGAUGAUACUAUUGUUAGAUCUAGUCCAUUUGGCGGGAUGGCAGAUGGCGGGCUUUGAUGUAAUAUUACAACACACAUAAGAAAUUAAACAUAAUAAGAAAUUCGAAAGGUCUUUAUUUAACAAACAUUAACCAUAAAUGUGACAGUAAUUUUAUAACAGCAGAUUAAUGCAUGACGUGACAUAAGACUAUUUAGCCAAAUGUCUUUUUUGAUGAAGGCUGCAUUGGUACCUGAUAGGAUUGAGAACAGCUAAUGUCCACGUGGGAAUUAAAUUUUGAAUAUAUUUUUAUUCAUUACUAGCUGACCCGACAGACGUCGUGCUGUACAUAUUAAAUCUUCUUCUUAUCAAAACCUUUACUGGACUUCCACAAAAAAUUCAAGACUAAAAUUAGCCAAAUCGAUCCAGCCAUUCUCGAGUUUUAGCAAGACUAACGAACAGCAAUUCAUUUUUAUAUAUAUAUAGACUUUACUGUACUAUAUUAUCUACUAUACAAUUUGUAAAUGAAACAUUCUUUCACAGAUCUAAUGGCUCCACAGCGCACAAAGAUCAAGCAUCUUCAAGCAGAAAUAUAGCGCUUGCGAAAAAAAGGACAAUCUUUCAAAGCAAGGUUAAAAAAGGUGCUGAAGAUUUGUCCAGCAGCAAUGUGUUUCAACAUUUUGCUAUGAAAUUUAAGAAACCAGCUCAAUUAUUUUUAAGUAUGCAGUUGCAAGCAUCAAAAAACCCAAAAAUGAUAGAAAUAACAAUGAUUAUAUAAAAGCAAAAGAAUACAAUAAUAAAAAAUGGUUAUGUUGUCCAAAUCAAGAAUUAGAAAAUUGCUUCCAUGACAUUCAAAAUAUAAUACCUGGGAUCUUAAAAACAGAUAUACCCAAAAAAAAAUUUAAAAAAGCAUAUUAUAUAAAUAGCAGAUGUGAUGGUAGAUUAUCCUUAAUUGCACCACACAUAAAGAAAAGUUGAAACAAUAUUUUAAUAACACAACUAUAAAUGUUAUUUUGUAUAGCUGGUGCAGAUCGAUCAAUCGAAUUUUGUCUGGAAAAUAAACAUAUGUGGGUGAAGACGAAACAAAAACAGCUGCCCAACAAUAUUACGAUAAACAUAAAUAUUAUAAA
Leptidea sinapis is the source of this 2162-nucleotide long non-coding RNA. RefSeq lists it as uncharacterized. The record is from RefSeq and is a predicted model, not a curated record. The transcript has 3 exons. NCBI's taxonomy places the organism in Eukaryota, Metazoa, Arthropoda, Insecta, Lepidoptera, Pieridae.